AGAUAAUGACAAACAAACGACGGAAAUUACAUAAUAAAUUCACAGCGUGUGCAUUUGACUCUAUCUUAAUAUAUUUGUCAGUACAUAGUAAACCCGAAUAAUCCAGUCUUUAUAUUACGAUCACUUCGAUCACUCCAUGAACCAUUUCCUCGAGAAAAGUAGUGGAUAGGGGCGCUGAAUUAUUCGAGUUAGUACAUGGAGGAAAGGUCUGUUUCAAAUGUUAUUCAAAGAUUAGGAGCGACGAUUCAAUGUCCGUUUGUGUAUUGUAUUUGUCGUGGUUGAAACGGCACCAGGAACAUAUCAGGAUAGACAACAGAAGUUUGUAAGUAUUUAUUUUAUGUAUCUAUAUAUUAACAUAGAUAUUAUCAAUGAAUUGUAUAUUUAAAUAUACAAUUCCUUGAUAUUAUAAGCCUUUCAUGCCUUCUGUUGACAAAUUUUCAUAACUAUGCACUGUUUUAGUAGACCACAGAUGUCCUUUUCGAACUAAAAGAACCUCCCUGAAAAAACACACCCUCAGUCGAAUCUUUCUUCUCAAAUGAAUGCCCGAAUGGUCAUCAAAUUAAUACUUGUUAUGGGCAGGCAUUUUCGAAUAAUUUUUAAAAAAAAUGUAUUAAUUCUGACUGCAAGGAAUUUUAAAUGGUAAAUAAUAUACAUUGUAUCUCGAGGGAAAUGUACACACUUUAACAACAGUAAUUUUUCAUAAAUAUUAUAUAAAAUAGUAAAAGUAGCAUACUCAGGACAUUUGGCAUUUACAUUUGUCAGGAGUAUGAAUCCUAGUUUUCAUCUAUUUGAAGUGAUAUUAUACGAUUAACCAGUUAUAUAAAUGUUAAAAAUCUGAAGAUAUAAUAGUAACAGUAUUAAACUCACUGGAAUAUAGAUCAAUUAAAUUAAUUUGCAUAAGUCUAUAAUCUAGAGAAUCAUAUAAUCUACAAAUUAAACAUUAAUUCAAAAAAUAUCAAAAAUUAAACUCUGGAAGAAAUUAGUCCAGCAUGAAUACAAAUUAAAGGGUCCUUUCAGGAAAAAAAAUUCUCAGAAAGGUAUCUCUUUCUUCAGAGGUUUAUAUGAAACGUUGAUGUCUGUUGUGCAGUGAUUUGGGUUUUUUUUUGCCUGUAUGCGAGACAUGGCAUGGUAGGUAUUGCAACCAAGCAACGGCGGCGACGAUGGUGUACACUAUUUGUUUGAAGCAUUAUAUUUUAUAAGUUAGACAAUCUAAAUGCUUCAUACCUUAUGUUACGAAAUUUCCGUCUGUCAUAUGUCAUUGUCCCGGCAACCUCAUUUUCAUGGUUCAGUAACUGCUUGAUACAUUUUGUUUUGUUAAAUGAAAAACUCACUUAUUAUGAGUAAUAUGAUAACUUUGUUUGGUAUAUGGGUUCCUAGCAACAUUUACAUGUUCGUCAGCUAGGUACAUGUAGGGUUAACCUGACCUCGACCUUAUUCCAUGGAUCAGUUAUCAAAAUAAAGUAACUUAAGCAAGACCGUAUCUAGAUACUAUAAACUAGUAAGUCAUCUAUAUUUGGUGUAUGGAUUAUUGAAAUGAUUGUAAGGUGUACAUAUCCACCCGACAGGUUCCGUCUGACCUUGGCCUCAAUUUCAUGGUUCAUUGGCCAAUGUAUAGUGUUUGUGGUUUGGUCUAUUUCUCAGAUACUUUAAGCAGUAGGACCACUAUAUAGGGUGUAUCAUGUAUGGAAUCAUUGUCAGCUGGAAAUGUCCGUCUGACAGGGUCUCAAUUGACUUCGACUUCAUUUUUAUGGUUCAUUGGACAAUUUUUAGUUGUGUCAUACAUUGUAGUUGUGCAUUGAUAAAGUUAAGUAUACCUGAUAAUUGUACUAAAGACUUUCAAUAUGAUUUCAAUGAUAAGUAAGACAAAGGCGAGACAUUUGCACUCAUAUUUUGGUAAUAAAAUGUGUAAAGUGUUGACUAAAGUACAUGUACCUAAAUUUCAAUAUAUUUUUGUAUCAGAGUGCUGAACGCGCAUCUUUAACGUUUUGAGAGGAAAAUGAAUAUUUUGUUGAAGGGAGAAUGUGUUGGGUACAUUACUCACAUUUUUACCUGAGGAAGCUGCUGUUCCUUUUGGAACAUGUCUUACUUGUUUUCUGGUAUGUUAAAUGGGAUAGGUAAAAGUAUUGUUAACACCAGUCCUGUGUUUUGUUUAAGACUUAAUGAAACCUGAUUUUAAUUGUUAUUUGUGUAUUCAGUUCGCUGUCUCCUAGGCAUGAACCACUCAUCUGUUUUAAGACUCUAUGAUUGAUUGAUUGAUCAUGACUGGCUGAAUGUCCAAUGGCAAAUAUUACAUGCAUAUUCAGGAAGUUGGGAAUGAUACAUGCCAAUCCUGAUAAAAAUAAAGAAAUAUGCCUGAAGAAAAACAAUAACAGAGUAAGUGUUCCUGCAUUUUAAACUUCAAAUAUUUCUUGUAGAGUGAGAAAACUGUUAUGAAACACCAGCAAAAAAGACUAGAUUGUUAUUCAGUCCUGACUUAUUCAGUGUCUCUGAAGAUGAAGAUUAGGUAUGUAAUAAUGAGGUUUUAAUUUGAUAGAUUGUUGACUUUUAAAUUGUAAAAGUUUAAUGAGUUACUGUAAGUUAAUCCAUUUAUUGUAUAAAUUAAAAUUCAAUAAUUACUGUUCAAGUGCAUAGCAUAGCCAUCUUUAUCUUGCUGUAUCCAGAGGCAAUAGAUAUAAGAAGAUGUGGUAUAGGUGCCAAUGAGACAACUCUCCAUCCAAGUCACAAUUUAUAAGAGUAAAUCAUUAUAGGUCAAAGUACGGACUUCAACACAGAGGGGAAGACUAUUAUUAAUUACAAUAAAGAGAGUGAAUAAUAUUAUAUAAGCAAAAUGGACAUCAUAAGUAAGAUUAAAAGAAAGACAGACAAUUUCUUUAUCAAAGAUUAUAAAUUUUGGUAUGGUUACUAAAAAUAUUUGAAAUUGUUUUGAAUUUGUCGUUAUUUCUUUCAGAUCAGGCCUAUUAAGAAGCAAGAAAAAAGACAAUUUUUAGCACGUGCAUCUACAGAGAGAGACAUGUUUUAAAAAACAGAUAUAUUUUCAAUUUAAGAAAAACCUGUUGAACUUUUACUAUUUCUUAUCUGUUUAUUUUACAUUGCUGCACAGUAUUUCUAUUCAGUCCCACAUAACAAAAUCAGCUGAAGAAAUUGAUGUUUUCAUAUUUCAAGGGAGUGUCCUUUUGCAUUGUUGAUAGCAGAUAUAUGCAUUGUCUUAAGUUGGGUUUAUAAACAGUCACAUCGCAACUUCAAAUAAAAUACAUUUUUAUGAAUCUUACAUGUAAAUAGACAUGAAAGAUAGAAAAUUAUAUAGGAACACAUUUUUUCUGACCUAAAUGUAUUUUCAAGGUAAAAUUAUGUGAACAUAUCAAAUAUUAUCAAAAACACCGCUGGUUUAAAAUAAAAUUAUUCUAUGUAGCCUAAACAAAUCAUACAGAUCAGUGUAUUUUUUCCUAAACAAAUUUUAUAUAUUUUUAUAACCAGAAUAAAUUUAUUCUGUGUCUCAACCUUAACAUAAUUACUGUACUAUCAAAAUAAAUUUAUU
This 3535-nucleotide long non-coding RNA is filed under the name Mytilus galloprovincialis (Mediterranean mussel). The record is from RNAcentral. Lineage: Eukaryota; Metazoa; Mollusca; Bivalvia; Mytilida; Mytilidae.